Molecule: long non-coding RNA, 173 nt
Organism: Bradysia coprophila
Lineage: Eukaryota; Metazoa; Arthropoda; Insecta; Diptera; Sciaridae
Source: RefSeq, a predicted model, not a curated record
AUUUUUAAUUUUUAUUAUACAUUCUGGGAAUUAUAAGAAGUAACAUUCACAAUCCAAUCGACGCUAUUCAUUCCAUAUGCAUUACCAACGUUACGACAUUUACGUAUGUAUAUGUAUUAUAACGUGUAAAUCGCAUGUGGAGUGAAUAACGUCGAUUGGAUCAUAAUUGUUGA